Molecule: ribosomal RNA, 235 nt
Filed under: Ephacerella longicaudata
Lineage: Eukaryota; Metazoa; Arthropoda; Insecta; Ephemeroptera; Ephemerellidae
Description: partial 12S ribosomal RNA
Source: RNAcentral
GGCGGUGGUUUAACUGCCUUAGGAAUUUGCCCUGUAAUCGAUAGUCCCCGAGGAACCCCUUUARAUUUGCAGUCAACUUGUAUACCGCCGUCAUCAGGAAAUUUUCAGAAAGUAUUUUCUAGGCCUCGUGAGAGAAGAUGUCAGGUCAAGGUGCAGUUAAUGUCUAAGUAGAGGUGAAUUACAAUAAAAGAAUUUAAUACGGAAGGUUUCAUGUAAUAAGACCGGAAGGUGGAUU